This 358-nucleotide ribosomal RNA is filed under the name Listeria monocytogenes. Its description in RNAcentral is "bacterial SSU rRNA". It matches the Rfam family "Bacterial small subunit ribosomal RNA", at positions 1 to 347 of the family's 1533-position model. Lineage: Bacteria; Bacillati; Bacillota; Bacilli; Caryophanales; Listeriaceae. The record is from RNAcentral.
UUUAAAGAGAGUUUGAUCCUGGCUCAGGACGAACGCUGGCGGCGUGCCUAAUACAUGCAAGUCGAACGAACGGAGGAAGAGCUUGCUCUUCCAAAGUUAGUGGCGGACGGGUGAGUAACACGUGGGCAACCUGCCUGUAAGUUGGGGAUAACUCCGGGAAACCGGGGCUAAUACCGAAUGAUAAAGUGUGGCGCAUGCCACGCUUUUGAAAGAUGGUUUCGGCUAUCGCUUACAGAUGGGCCCGCGGUGCAUUAGCUAGUUGGUAGGGUAAUGGCCUACCAAGGCAACGAUGCAUAGCCGACCUGAGAGGGUGAUCGGCCACACUGGGACUGAGACACGGCCCAGACUCCUACGGGAG